GCUCCAGCCACCUGGGUGUGAGCUAUGCCCUCUGCCAGAAAUGCUCUUUCCUCUAUUGGCCUGGCCACAACUACUCAGCCUUUGGGUCUGUUUAACUGCCACUGCCCCCAAUAAACCUUCUGUUCCCCAUUCACAUCAAAUGGACUUGUGUCCCUUGCACUAGUCUAUGAGCUUUUGGAUGUCUGUGUCCUUAGGGCCCAAGCUGGCCAGUCUGGCCCAGAUGCAGCCUCGGGUCGUGUCUUGUCUGCAGGGUGUGGGGGGACAGUAUGUGCACCCCCUUGCUUUCUCAGGUAGACUUUGAACAACUGACUGAGAACCUGGGGCAGCUGGAGCGCCGGAGCCGGGUAGCCGAGGAGAGCCUGCGGAGCUUGGCCAAGCAUGAGCUGGCCCCAGCCCUGCGUGCCCGCCUCACCCACUUCCUGGCCCAGUGUGCCCGCCGUGUUGCCAUGCUGAGGAUAGUGCACCGCCGUGUCUGCAAUAGGUUCCAUGCCUUCCUGCUCUACCUGGGCUACACCCCGCAGGCGGCCCGUGAAGUGCGCAUCACGCAGUUCUGCCACACGCUGCGGGAAUUUGCGCUUGAGUAUCGGACUUGCCGGGAACGAGUGCUACAGCAGCAGCAGAAGCGGGCCACAUACCGUGAGCGCAACAAGACCCGGGGACGCAUGAUCACCGAG
Molecule: small RNA, 674 nt
Filed under: Pongo abelii (Sumatran orangutan)
Lineage: Eukaryota; Metazoa; Chordata; Mammalia; Primates; Hominidae
Description: retained intron
Source: RNAcentral